GUCAUCUGAGCUUCCAUUCCAUUGGAUGGCUUUUAGCCACCUACAUACACCACUGAGAAAGUGGAGUUCACAGCACUGUUUUGGACGAAUUGUAAUGUUGCAUUGUGCAGAUUGAGCGCUGCACAAAGGUGCCGUGUGCCUGCAGUGUUAUGUUACGCUAAGGGGAUGCUGGCCUCUUACUUGCACAUUGGCUGGACGUGGGUCCCCAGUAGCCCUGAGCGUCAGCAGCUGGCCAGGGCUGGCAAACACCUGGAUUCCUGUAAUUGGAGAUAAUUUUUGCCAACCACAACAAGAACAUCUUUAGAGUCUUGGUAAGAGUUGCUGAACAUGCCUUAAUGACCCUAUUAUCUGAGGGAAAGAAAAUCUUGAGUGCUUACUAUGUGCUAGGAGCUCUACUAAGCAUCUAACCUGAUCGUCUCAGCUACUCCUCAGAACAGACCUGUCAGACUUCAAAUCUUUGAUCGUUAUCCUUCUGUCAGAAGUCUAUCUUCUAAGCAAC
This 499-nucleotide long non-coding RNA is filed under the name Equus caballus (horse). RNAcentral's name for it is "lncRNA (ENSECAG00000053104.1)". The record is from RNAcentral. Lineage: Eukaryota; Metazoa; Chordata; Mammalia; Perissodactyla; Equidae.